GGUUCCUUAAGUCUGAUGUGAAAGCCCACGGCUCAACCGUGGAGGGUCAUUGGAAACUGGGGGACUUGAGUGCAGAAGAGGAAAGUGGAAUUCCAAGUGUAGCGGUGAAAUGCGUAGAGAUUUGGAGGAACACCAGUGGCGAAGGCGACUUUCUGGUCUGUAACUGACACUGAGGCGCGAAAGCGUGGGGAGCAAACAGGAUUAGAUACC
This 210-nucleotide ribosomal RNA is filed under the name Peribacillus gossypii. RNAcentral's name for it is "partial 16S ribosomal RNA". It matches the Rfam family "Bacterial small subunit ribosomal RNA", at positions 577 to 786 of the family's 1533-position model. Lineage: Bacteria; Bacillati; Bacillota; Bacilli; Caryophanales; Bacillaceae. The record is from RNAcentral.